RNAcentral lists this transfer RNA (96 nucleotides) under Actinomycetota bacterium. RNAcentral's name for it is "tRNA-Sec". It matches the Rfam family "Selenocysteine transfer RNA". The record is from RNAcentral. Lineage: Bacteria; Bacillati; Actinomycetota.
GGAGGUGUCUGGGCACCUGGUGGUCCCCCCGGCCUUCAAAGCCGGUGAGGCCGAGCAUCUCGGCCUGGCGGGUUCGAUUCCCGUCCACCUCCGCCA